ACUACUUAAGUCGAAUGAGAGGCGUCAGGAUGAUACCCUGGAAGAAGAGGUUAGCCUCAAGUAGUA
This 66-nucleotide transfer RNA is filed under the name Serratella zapekinae. Its description in RNAcentral is "tRNA-Ile". The record is from RNAcentral. Lineage: Eukaryota; Metazoa; Arthropoda; Insecta; Ephemeroptera; Ephemerellidae.